This 465-nucleotide ribosomal RNA is filed under the name Vreelandella stevensii. Its description in RNAcentral is "partial 16S ribosomal RNA". It matches the Rfam family "Bacterial small subunit ribosomal RNA", at positions 338 to 795 of the family's 1533-position model. The record is from RNAcentral. Lineage: Bacteria; Pseudomonadati; Pseudomonadota; Gammaproteobacteria; Oceanospirillales; Halomonadaceae.
CCUACGGGAGGCUGCAGUGGGGAAUAUUGGACAAUGGGGGGAACCCUGAUCCAGCCAUGCCGCGUGUGUGAAGAAGGCCCUCGGGUUGUAAAGCACUUUCAGUGAGGAAGAACGCCUGGUGGUUAAUACCCAUCAGGAAAGACAUCACUCACAGAAGAAGCACCGGCUAACUCCGUGCCAGCAGCCGCGGUAAUACGGAGGGUGCGAGCGUUAAUCGGAAUUACUGGGCGUAAAGCGCGCGUAGGUGGCUUGAUAAGCCGGUUGUGAAAGCCCUGGGCUCAACCUGGGAACGGCAUCCGGAACUGUCAAGCUAGAGUGCAGGAGAGGAAGGUAGAAUUCCCGGUGUAGCGGUGAAAUGCGUAGAGAUCGGGAGGAAUACCAGUGGCGAAGGCGGCCUUCUGGACUGACACUGACACUGAGGUGCGAAAGCGUGGGUAGCAAACAGGAUUAGAUACCCGGGUAGUC